This 89-nucleotide transfer RNA is filed under the name Mycoplasmatota bacterium. Its description in RNAcentral is "Tenericutes bacterium tRNA-Ser". It matches the Rfam family "tRNA". Rfam says of the family: Transfer RNA (tRNA) molecules are approximately 80 nucleotides in length. The record is from RNAcentral. Lineage: Bacteria; Bacillati; Mycoplasmatota.
GGAGGAAUACUCAAGUGGCUGAAGAGGCAAGCUUGGAAAGUUUGUAGGUUAGAAAUGAUGCAGGGGUUCAAAUCCCCUUUCCUCCGCCA